Non-coding RNA from Paramuricea clavata, 813 nucleotides. Lineage: Eukaryota; Metazoa; Cnidaria; Anthozoa; Malacalcyonacea; Plexauridae. The record is from the annotation of a GenBank genome assembly.
CCUUUCCUAACUGUUAAAUAUAAGUUGGUAUUUAAUCUACUGUAUAACACAACAGCUGGACAAACUUUUCGCAUUCAGUUUUGUUAUAGCUACUCGCCUAAGUAAAAAUUUAUUGUCUAUAUUGAAUAGUUACUUACUCUUGUUCAGUGUGAUAAGAACAUUCAUAAAUUCACAACUCAAUCUAAUUCUUGGGACUAGCAUAGAGUAAACUGAUUAACUGGUUAGGUAUUCUAUUUCUUCUAAAAAAGGAAGAUUAUUUUAGAUCAAGUCUUCAAUUUUCCUGCUGUUAAUUAAAGGAUCACUCAUCAAGGUCUAAUAUAAGGAUUGUAUUUCUCUAGUACAGCCGUCACUGAGCUAUUAUAAAUGUUAUUACUCAGUGAAUCAAAGUCAGCCCUUUUCUGCUUUGUAUCAGCAAAUGUUUGAUAAGUUAAGUUCUCAAAAGCAAACUAAUUCACCGAGGAGACCACAAUGGAACAACGGAGGCGAACACCGUAUCUUGUCUUGAUACAGGAUUAGAAAUGAUGUCAUGUUGAUUACGUCCAGUCUUGAUUCAAUAGUGUUUUCCUUCAGCUUAUUUCAAAAGAAUUUGAACGACUACCAGGCUUUCUACUUCGUAUUAAGAAAGGUUUGCUCAGAAAUGGUCCACUUUCAGUUCCAUCAAUAAAUUUCAGAAAAACAAUUAAGUGAAACAGAUUUCUUCUCUCAGCGUCGACUGUGGCUAAUUUAUAUACUGGUGUCCCAUUAGGAGUAUCGUACACUGAAUCCAGAUCAGCUGAAAAUAAUUGCUAGAAAUGUAUAAAAAAAUGAAAUUAG